Molecule: long non-coding RNA, 1051 nt
Filed under: Olea europaea subsp. europaea
Lineage: Eukaryota; Viridiplantae; Streptophyta; Magnoliopsida; Lamiales; Oleaceae
Source: RNAcentral
UAUAUAUAUAAAAGCCCAAUGCUUAUGACCCAUUUAGUGACCUUGUGACCCGUUCCUCCCAAAUUCUCAAUUGAUUACUGUUCGAUUCAAUCACAAAAUCACUUCAACCCUUCGUGACUUCGUCCCUUCGCACUAUCCAUCACUGCCUGUCUUUCCCCUUCCCAUCUUCGACGGCACGUCCUCCUGGAGCCGGUCAGACUUGCUCCCAUCUCCGACCGACUCUACGUUCUCCUCCGGCUCCGAGUUUUGAUCUCCGUUGGAUCGUUGUAGUCUUGCAGACUAGCAGGCAACGCCUGCGCAUGACAGCAGCUUCGCCAAUCGCUCAUUAAAUUGUAACAGAAGAAGGUGAUUUUGAUUUUUGAAUCGGUUGGGUAGCCAGCAGAAUUAAAAGGUUAAAGCCCCAAUUUCCACCAGUGACUUUGAAUUUUUUUUCCUAUUUUUGUUAUUUUGAUUUGUGUAAAUUGUAAUAAUAUUUUUUUUGUUCUUAGCAUGCGAAAUUAGCGCUUUAUUCUUUAAUUGCUCAAAGCAGCACUUCGUACACGUUGCUCUUCAAUUGAUUUUGGCACAGACUUCCAGUGGACCAGUUCAUUGUUGCAUCUGACUCUCUACAAAUAUGCGAUUGUAAGUUGCUUACACUGUCACUUGGAAGUUGAAACUUGGAAAAUAGUAUAUAUUGCAUUGUAAAGUUGUGAAUUGCACUGGAUUGAUAGUAUAUAUUGCACUGUGAUUGUGAAUUCAUUAUUUGAAAGUGUGAAUUGGAAUGUAAAUUGAUUAUGUGAAGUAGUGAAUUGCACUGGAUCAUUAAAUCUAUGACCAAAACCUCAACGUCCGGCGUUGAAAAUUUUUUGCCCGUGCUGAACUAAAAUCCUGGCUAUGCCCCUGAUUUGUUUGUUAUAUUGCCUUCUUCAAAAAUAAUAAAAUAACACUAUUUUAGAAUAUUAAUUAUUAUAGAUUGAUUCAAAUAAUUAUGCAAUAUUCUUCUGAUAUAUUAUAAAGUAUGUUUGUUCUUGAGCAAUAGGUCAACAUUCUUUGGGAAUAUUGAGUAAUGCCA